CCUACGGGAGGCAGCAGUGGGGAAUCUUGCGCAAUGGGCGAAAGCCUGACGCAGCCAUGCCGCGUGAAUGAUGAAGGUCUUAGGAUUGUAAAAUUCUUUCACCGGGGACGAUAAUGACGGUACCCGGAGAAGAAGCCCCGGCUAACUUCGUGCCAGCAGCCGCGGUAAUACGAAGGGGGCUAGCGUUGCUCGGAAUUACUGGGCGUAAAGGGAGCGUAGGCGGAUAGUUUAGUCAGAGGUGAAAGCCCAGGGCUCAACCUUGGAAUUGCCUUUGAUACUGGCUAUCUUGAGUGUGGGAGAGGUAUGUGGAACUCCGAGUGUAGAGGUGAAAUUCGUAGAUAUUCGGAAGAACACCAGUGGCGAAGGCGACAUACUGGCCCAUUACUGACGCUGAGGCUCGAAAGCGUGGGGAGCAAACAGGAUUAGAUACCCUGGUAGUCCACGCUGUAAACGAUGAGUGCUAGUUGUCGGCAGCAUGCUCGUCGGUGACGCGAGCUACGACAUAAGUACACUCCGCCGUCGGGAGGUACGGUCGGCGAGAAUUAAACGUUAAAACGUAAAGUUAGUACGGCGUGAGACGUGCCGACGGACGACGACGAGGGAGGUAGG
RNAcentral lists this ribosomal RNA (609 nucleotides) under uncultured bacterium. RNAcentral describes it as "bacterial SSU rRNA". The stretch from base 1 to 518 matches the Rfam family "Bacterial small subunit ribosomal RNA", at positions 338 to 873 of the family's 1533-position model. The record is from RNAcentral.